Molecule: ribosomal RNA, 493 nt
Filed under: uncultured bacterium
Lineage: Bacteria
Description: partial 16S ribosomal RNA
Rfam family: Bacterial small subunit ribosomal RNA
Source: RNAcentral
GACGAACGCUGGCGGCGUGCUUAACACAUGCAAGUCGAACGGUGAAGGGACCGGUUUUUGCUGGUUCUGGAUGAGUGGCGCACGGGUGAGUAACACGUGAGUAACCUGCCCCCUUCUUCUGGAUAACCGCAUGAAAGUGUGGCUAAUACGGGAUAUUCUGCGCCUGCUGCAUGGUGGGUGUGGGAAAGAUAUUGUUUCGGUGGGGGAUGGGCUCGCGGCCUAUCAGCUUGUUGGUGGGGUGAUGGCCUACCAAGGCGGUGACGGGUAGCCGGCCUGAGAGGGUGGACGGUCACACUGGGACUGAGACACGGCCCAGACUCCUACGGGAGGCAGCAGUGGGGAAUAUUGCAUAAUGGGCGCAAGCCUGAUGCAGCGACGCCGCGUGAGGGAUGGAGGCCUUCGGGUUGUAAACCUCUUUCGCCAGUGAAGCAGGCCUGUCCCUUUUGUGGGUGGGUUGACGGUAGCUGGAUAAGAAGCGCCGGCUAACUACGUG